UAAACACCAUAGUCAUCCACACC
This 23-nucleotide non-coding RNA is filed under the name Arabidopsis thaliana (thale cress). The record is from RNAcentral. Lineage: Eukaryota; Viridiplantae; Streptophyta; Magnoliopsida; Brassicales; Brassicaceae.